Long non-coding RNA from Centrocercus urophasianus (Greater sage-grouse), 537 nucleotides. RefSeq lists it as uncharacterized. Lineage: Eukaryota; Metazoa; Chordata; Aves; Galliformes; Phasianidae. The transcript is spliced from 3 exons. The record is from RefSeq and is a predicted model, not a curated record.
CUCGCUUGCUUAGCAGUGCAGAACCAUGCUCCUCACUGCAGGGCGAGGUGUCUGCAUCUGCACUGCAGAGCUACCCCACAGCCAAGCCAGAAUGGGCCUUGCGUACCAAACCCAGACUGUGGGAGCUUUCAGUCUACACUACCAGGAAACAGGCUGCCUGUUACUUCAAUCCAUAGCUCACCGGCAUCUCCAAGAGCACCAUUAGGCUUUAUCAUCCCAGCCAGUGCUGAAGAAAGGCGUGCCUGACCGUCCCAUGCUCAGCCCCAGCUCAGCCUCCAGGAAUCAUCUGGUUAUGAAGAAUCCCAAAUUUUGCUAUACAUUAAAAUUUUGAAGUUCUCCUUCACAUAUGAGAAAACCUGAAAAUGUGAAGUCUCAACUACAUUUUCUGAUCUAGCUGUGCAUGCCCCUUUUCACUGCAGCGUUCAAGCUCUGAAGAUCUCCACACGUACUGCAAACCACCUGCAGUAAGAGGAAUAUGGUGUUAAUCAGUGCCCACUGCCCAGCUUUCCUGGAAUUGUGGCUGUAUGUGGUUUGACU